Teleopsis dalmanni is the source of this 1209-nucleotide long non-coding RNA. RefSeq lists it as uncharacterized. Lineage: Eukaryota; Metazoa; Arthropoda; Insecta; Diptera; Diopsidae. The record is from RefSeq and is a predicted model, not a curated record. The transcript has 4 exons.
UUGAACACGACGUAUUAAUAAGAAUAAUUACAGUAUUCUGCAGAAAAUACAUAUUUUAAUAAAUAGUUCUACUGAGUCGGGAUAGUCAAUGUUGCUGCAGGAUUCCACAAGCCUACAACUAACAUACAAAGCAGUUAAAAUUCUUAAACACAACAUCACAGCUAUAAAUUUAUAUCCUGAAAAAAGAGUAUUAAUUUUCAAAAUUUGAUUUAAGUCUUCAGCAGUUCGCACAUUUUUAUACCACUAAAACUUUUAUGGCACAUUGAGAAAAUUUUGAAUUUUUAUUAAAUCCCUCUAUUCUGGAUCAAAAUAUUAUUUUUUGGUUAUAUAAGCAGAUAGACUAUGUAAAAAAAACCAAAAAGAGAGGAACCUAUUUCCAACUAGGAAAAGAGAAGGCAGUAGCGCUGUGGAGGAUUGGUGUUUUGUCUUGUCCCGAUCCUCAGCUACAACAAGAAGUCAGUAUACCGAUGGAUUUUGUCACACUUUUAGUGCACUCUAUGUAUCAUAUGCUGUGACUAAUUUUAAAAUUUUCAUUUCACAAGUGGAGAAAUACUAACCAAAAUGAAUGUUAUCAAAAAGUUGUGUACCACGUUAGGUCAGAAAACUUUCAGUAUUCCUAUAAUUUGCUUGUGACAACUAAUAUCGACUAUUGGAAAUUUAUGAAUCAUAUUCAAAACAAGAACGUUUGCAAAGCUACAAUUGUUUUGUAGAUUAAUAAUUAUUUUACGGGAAUUCUAUCCAGAAAUAUAAACGAACGGUUUUAAAUCAGGAAAAGAUAUAUGUUCUUGCGGUGUAAAUACAAAAAUAUAAAGUUAAAACGCUGAACUAAAUACUUCAUUACAAUAACUGAUGACAUGAACUGAGGAUUAAUAAACAUGAACAGAUAAAGUAUUUCCAAUUGAAUGUAAUUAUAUACUAAUCAUCGUAAUAUGAGGAGUUGAAAUCUGACUUAAAAUACAUGAACUUAACGUUCUAACAACACUUCCAAAAAAGCAAAAUAAAAACAUUAUUGAACAACAAAACCGAAUUAUAAGGUGGGGACAAGCAUUUUUUUCUCGAAAAGGAUAUUUUUGGAUACCACUGAACCACUGAAUUCAAAUAUAAGAUCCAAUCCAAGGAAUAAAAUUAAUAUGAGAAAACAAAAAAUAACUCUCAAUAUAAAGCAGAUUUAAGUUUCCAAACAUCGUUCUCUGUACGUUCACAACUAUU